This 78-nucleotide transfer RNA is filed under the name Megalops atlanticus (tarpon). Its description in RNAcentral is "tRNA-OTHER". The record is from RNAcentral. Lineage: Eukaryota; Metazoa; Chordata; Actinopteri; Elopiformes; Megalopidae.
AGAAGUGUAGCACAGUGGUAAGGUGCAGGGCUUGCAACCAAAAGGUUGCUGGUUCGAUUCCCUGCUGGGUCACUGCUG